UACGAAGGGGGCUAGCGUUGCUCGGAAUUACUGGGCGUAAAGCGCACGUAGGCGGCUUUCUAAGUCGGGGGUGAAAUCCUGGAGCUCAACUCCAGAACUGCCUUCGAUACUGGAAAGCUCGAGUCCGGGAGAGGUGAGUGGAACUGCGAGUGUAGAGGUGAAAUUCGUAGAUAUUCGCAAGAACACCAGUGGCGAAAGCGAAUCUCUGGACAGUUCCUGACGCUGAUGCACGAAGGCUAGGGGAGCAAACGGG
This 253-nucleotide ribosomal RNA is filed under the name uncultured bacterium. Its description in RNAcentral is "partial 16S ribosomal RNA". It matches the Rfam family "Bacterial small subunit ribosomal RNA", at positions 524 to 776 of the family's 1533-position model. The record is from RNAcentral.